UUGUUUUGUUUUGUUUUUGUGUUCAGACAUAAAAUGAGUGUAAAAAAUCUCGGUGGCGCGCACUCGUUUCCAAGCCGCCGACCACCAAGCAACAUUGUAAAUUCACAAGUGUAUGAGAGAAUGUCCAAAGGACAAAUUCAUUAAUGAUCCUUCCGCAGGUUCACCUACGGAAA
This 173-nucleotide unclassified non-coding RNA is filed under the name uncultured fungus. RNAcentral describes it as "sequence contains ITS1". Lineage: Eukaryota; Fungi. The record is from RNAcentral.